UCCUAGCUUCCACAAAGUUUGUAGUUUUGUUCAAAAAUCUAACAAAAAAGCACUUAUGGUGAAGUUUGCCUUGUAACAAAGGCAGACCUCUAUGACCCUCUGAUUUUAUCUGCAGCUUUUUUUACAGGGUGUCUUUAGUGAGAAUGAUACCCGGGGACAUAAAGAGCACUUUGUAAAGCAGCUCAGUGACAUCUGCACAAUAGGACACUGAUGACUGAACACACCACUCCUACACUAUAGAUGAUAAUGAAAGCGGAAAACCAACCAUAUCUCUGUGAUUAUUACCACUCCAGGAUAAGUCCCUGGAGGGCCAGGCACUACUGCAAACAGACAUGUCCUGAAGGAAGCAGAAGUGCAUGGGAAGCCCGUGCUGGAUCAGGCUCCUGCCAGCAUCUUCAGCCUGUGGAGAGAAGUCCACACAGAACCAGGUUUUCUGGACAGAGCUGUGACACAUGGGGGAGUCAUGCUAAAGCAAUUCACUCCCAAAGGACUGUACACCAUGGAAAUACGCCCUAUUCUGGACAAGCAAGGAAUUUCCAUUUAGAAAUUCUGACCACAAGCCCAUUCCAUAUCGCCCUGAGCUCACUCUGUUAUUAAUUGGCAAUAAAUUAAAGUAAUCUUCUCUGACCUGAGGGUUUUUUGCCCAUAAGGAAUACUGGAUGCUGAUUGGCAAAAAAUGUGUUGAGACUGUUAAAGACAGUUCUGAAGAAACUUAGGAGCUUCCCAUUUUCUACUUCAGAUUUCACAAGAUGUUGCAGUUCCCCUGAUGGCUAUUGUGAAUGCUCCAGGGACUUUUGGUCCGAGAGGUACAGUGGUUCAGCUCACUGAGGCUUCCAUUUAAUAUGGUACUAUUCAUCCAAGGAGAACAAAUGGUUGCUCCUUUGGCUGACCACAGACUCUCUCCUGGAGGAACUUUUCCUGUCAGACCACUCCAUUACAGAACCAAUCAGCAAUUCAGUGCCUUUUUUAUACUUCAGUUUUAACAAGGUCUCAUCCACCUUUCUUUAUGCUUUGUCAUGGUCUUCUGUGUCAUUCUAUGCUAAAAACAAGCACUCUUGUUUGUAAUUUAUAAGAAUUUGUGUAUUCCUAUUAAAAAUCAAAAAAUGAGUGGCGAGGACAAUGAAAGGGAUCUGCUAAAACAAAAAUAUUUCAUCAUAUUAAUAGCUGCUCAGGAUCCAGCUGCUGAGAUUACAGGUUAAAAUUCCCAUUUCUCAGGUGAAGCUGUGUAGUGAGAGAAAUUAGGUGGUUGGAUUCCACUGAAAAAAUUCAUACAAUUAAAAUACCACUAUUUAUCAGCAGUUAACACUAUUAACUCAGGAGUGAUUGUUGUAUGUAUUUCAAGAAUUUUGUUUCAUUUGCCUGAAAUUCAAAGAUAUCUCUUAAUUCCUUGAUAGAUUGUUUAAAAAAAGAUAGAAAAACUAAGCAAAAAUGUUCCAUUCUCAUGAGGAUCUACCCUUCAGAAAUAUAUAAAAGACAGACCCCAAAUUGUCAUUUGAUGGAACUAUUUGCUUUUGUCUUCUUCCUUUGUAUCUUGCGUUUAGUUGUACCUCAUCCGUCACACUGCCUGUCCCACCUUAUUCUCCUUCCAAUGCUUGAGGAACCUGGCUCUGUCUGAGAUCAAGAGAAAGGAAAGUCAGGAGGGUUCUUAAUUUUAUCCCUGUACCAGCACUAAAACAUGUUUAGCCUCUAUGAAAAGACCUGAAUUUUUUUUUUAAGUAGAAGUUAAAAGGGAACAUACUGGGGAGAAGAAAAAAGAGGAAGCUCUAUGAAGACUUCAGUAUCAGUUCUAAGUUUAUAUUGUGGGCACUGUUUUUCCUCUAAUUCCCAGGAUUUCAGAUUUCUUUUAAAAUAAUUUUUCCAUAGCUUUGUAUUCUUUUUUUAAAUUUGGAACAUUUUUAACUCACCAACUCAGUGCAAAGAUCAAGUUUUUUAUUUUAUUAGGAAGGUUAUUCUAGAAAAGUUAUUUUUUAUUUUCAGGAAGUACUUUAACAGUUUUCCACAGCAGGUUUAGUAGUGUCACAUGCAAAAUGGAUACUCUGUAAUAUUGAGGAGGAAGGGUGGUUUCUAGCAAGUGCCACUAGGUCCAUCUGCCAAGGAACAGCCAUAUCUAAGUUCUUGCUUUCAUAUGGCUUCCUCUGGGAAGGGACAUUCUUUAUACAGAGCCCUACUCUACUUGCAGGCACAUAUGUUAUUCAAAAUGGUGCCAUGUAGUCACUUGGAAAUGAGUCUUCUGGCAUGGGGUUAGAUGGAAGAAGGAAAAAAGCACUCUCUCUGUUUAUUCACUCUCCCUGUUCCCAGUUUCCCCGCUUCCCCAUUUCCGUGUUUGUGUGCUUCUCCAUCCUACACACAAAGGAACUAUGACUUAUACUCGGCUACAGAACAUUUGUGCAUGUAUCUAACUUUUUAUCUGUAUCUUCCAUUUUGUUCAAGAAAUCAAGUGCUGGCUGUCUGUAUUUCUCACAAAAAUGAAGUGUUUGCAACUGGUCUGCAAUGCAAUUCCCUUUCCAGCUAACACACCAAGGGAGCGUGAUGCCCCUUGUACGGUCUCUGGAAAUUCAUGAAAAUACAUCGUGAAAUGCUUGAGACUCAAGAUUUAAAGCAUUUGUAGUUGAUGUGACCUAACAAAUCUGCAGGUGCCAGCACAAAGUAUGUAGCCAGGCUGACAGAAGUACCCAGCUCCUGCAAUUAAAGAGCAGGCAGUCUCAGUAAUCAGGUAAGGUGAAAAGACAUUAAUUUUUAUAAAAUAAUCUUUUAACUUACAUAUAAUUUACCUAAAAUCUUCUUGUAUGUUUAUGCCAUGAGUGGACUUUGCAUCAUACGUUGGCUCCAUGAGUGGCUGCAAAGAUAUUUUUUUCUCUUUUAAGAGGUAUCAAAUAAGGAAAUCAGUAGAAAACUGCUGGCAAGGUUUUGGACAAAGGAUGAAGGAAGCAGCACCCGGCUUCUUGUGCUAAAAACUUUCUGUAGUUAUGUGGUGAGUGGAAGGAGGAACAGAGUUAAAGCUUUCAGAUCCUGAAUGGUCAGGUCCACCACACGGGCAGCAUCUCCUUCCCUGCUGGAGCUUUGUGACCCUGAUGUAUGUUUUUCUGUGUGUGCCCAAGGGGCACUAAUUAAAGACAUUCAAAUAAUUUGUAGUUACUGUUUCUAAAUAGAAGACGUACAUAGUUUACAUAGAACCAAUCCUUUCACCUUUACAAUGAGUUUGCAAUACCUUGGGGACUGCUGGCAAUGUAAGUAGUUGAUUAAUACAAACAGUGUGGUGGAAUUUGGCUCUAGGUGAUGGUGCUAAAAUAUUAUUUCUACUAAGUAGAACUACAUUAGGUGCAAUCUAGUUCCAUGACAGAGAUCAAGAGGAUGUGGGAAGACUUUCAUGAUUCCAAACAUAAGGGCUCAGCUGCUCAGUGUAGGAAGAAGCAUGGUAUGUGCAGAGGCUGCUAAGCUAUGCAGUCAUCAUAAAGGAAGAAGUCCAUAAUGGAAGUUGUGAAAAAUCCAAGAAAUGGGGUUUUUUUUGCACACAUUAGGACAUGCAAAAGCACAUGUUGUAUUUGCAGAACAUUCUUCUUAAACUCUGCAGGAACUCCACUUAUAAAAUAUUUAAGUCACUGUGGUUAUUCCUGAGAAUAUAGGGAGGAAAAGAUCCUUUUCUAAUCCUAAAAUGUCCUUUGGAAAACUGGUCUAGGAAGAAGUAUCAGAGAAAGUGCAAACACGAUUGUUUCAUUAUACCUGGUGACCUUCAAACAGAUACAGUCUAAGAAAUAACACAUGCAAGGAAAGAAACUGGGAUAUAUUCAGAAUUAAGAGAAAAUUCUGAAACAAAUAGGAGGAAAAAGGUGUGGUGAGGGAUAGAACUAUUGCAUUAAAAAUUGCUGCUGAGACUGUGUAAACCCACUAGCAAGUGUGUAAAUGGGAUAAUGGAAAUAUUUGCCUUUUUUAUAACAUCUUUAUUUUCUCCAAUUUUGACAGUCUUUGUGGUUGUACAGUACCACCAUCUAGAUCAUCCAUUUCCAUUUGCUUUUGAAAAGUCACAAAUUUCCACACAGUGGGGAUGAAGGGAGCAGAUCAUUGUUGCUGCAGUGUGAGCCAACAUAGUAAAUUUAAAAUGUAAUAAAUUUACAGGACACUUAUUUGUCUUCAGUAGCAAAUUGUGUGUACAUUUUUUUCUUUUUAAGAUCAUGUGAGAUAGCUUAAUCUACCUCAGAAACAGAACAAAAAAAUAUUAAAGAAAUGUGCAAUAUAAGUGACUGCAUGGGUAUUUAAUAUAGAGAAUCUUAAAGAAUCAAGUAAAAUAAAAUUUUUGCCUACCAAAAAUAAACAUAACAAAAAUAC
Molecule: long non-coding RNA, 4323 nt
Organism: Passer domesticus (house sparrow)
Lineage: Eukaryota; Metazoa; Chordata; Aves; Passeriformes; Passeridae
Exons: 4
Source: RefSeq, a predicted model, not a curated record